This 492-nucleotide ribosomal RNA is filed under the name uncultured bacterium. RNAcentral's name for it is "partial 16S ribosomal RNA". It matches the Rfam family "Bacterial small subunit ribosomal RNA", at positions 29 to 507 of the family's 1533-position model. The record is from RNAcentral.
AGUGAACGCUGGCGGUAGGCCUAACACACGCAAGUCGAACGGCAGCACAGUAAGAGCUUGCUCUUACGGGUGGCGAGUGGCGGACGGGUGAGGAAUACAUCGGAAUCUACUUUUUCGUGGGGGAUAACGUAGGGAAACUUACGCUAAUACCGCAUACGACCUACGGGUGAAAGCAGGGGAUCUUCGGACCUUGCGCGAUUGAAUGAGCCGAUGUCGGAUUAGCUAGUUGGCGGGGUAAAGGCCCACCAAGGCGACGAUCCGUAGCUGGUCUGAGAGGAUGAUCAGCCACACUGGAACUGAGACACGGUACAGACUCCUACGGGAGGCAGCAGUGGGGAAUAUUGGACAAUGGGCGCAAGCCUGAUCCAGCCAUACCGCGUGGGUGAAGAAGGCCUUCGGGUUGUAAAGCCCUUUUGUUGGGAAAGAAAAGCAGCAGGUUAAUACCCCGCUGUUCUGACGGUACCCAAAGAAUAAGCACCGGCUAACUUCGUG